AAUAAGUGCAGUUUUGCACUAUUCAUCUUCAACGUUUGACCGUUCGUCUUAUUUGAAAAUUUUUUAUGAUUAUUAUUUUUAUUGUUAUUAUAUGAUAAAACAUGAAUAGUGCUUUAUGUGUGACUAAUUUUUUUAAAAUUUUUCAAAUAAGACGGACGGUCAAACGUUGGACAUGGAUUUCGACGACUGCACUUAUU
Oryza sativa Japonica Group (Japanese rice) is the source of this 197-nucleotide microRNA precursor. It matches the Rfam family "MIR812 microRNA precursor family". The record is from Rfam. NCBI's taxonomy places the organism in Eukaryota, Viridiplantae, Streptophyta, Magnoliopsida, Poales, Poaceae.